AAGCGGCGGACGGGUGAGUAACGCGUGGGUAACCUGCCCUGUACACACGGAUAACAUACCGAAAGGUAUGCUAAUACGAGAUAAAAUACUUUUAUCGCAUGGUAGAAGUAUCAAAGCUUUUGCGGUACAGGAUGGACCCGCGUCUGAUUAGCUAGUUGGUGAGGUAACGGCUUACCAAGGCGACGAUCAGUAGCCGACCUGAGAGGGUGAUCGGCCACAUUGGAACUGAGACACGGUCCAAACUCCUACGGGAGGCAGCAG
This 261-nucleotide ribosomal RNA is filed under the name uncultured bacterium. RNAcentral describes it as "partial 16S ribosomal RNA". It matches the Rfam family "Bacterial small subunit ribosomal RNA", at positions 93 to 354 of the family's 1533-position model. The record is from RNAcentral.